RNAcentral lists this ribosomal RNA (686 nucleotides) under Bacillus infantis. RNAcentral describes it as "bacterial SSU rRNA". It matches the Rfam family "Bacterial small subunit ribosomal RNA", at positions 54 to 724 of the family's 1533-position model. Lineage: Bacteria; Bacillati; Bacillota; Bacilli; Caryophanales; Bacillaceae. The record is from RNAcentral.
CAUGCAGUCGAGCGGACGGAUGGGAGCUUGCUCCCUGAAGUCAGCGGCGGACGGGUGAGUAACACGUGGGCAACCUGCCUGUAAGACUGGGAUAACUUCGGGAAACCGGAGCUAAUACCGGAUAAUGCAUAACCUCUCAUGAGGCUAUGCUGAAAGAUGGUUUCGGCUAUCACUUACAGAUGGGCCCGCGGCGCAUUAGCUAGUUGGUGAGGUAACGGCUCACCAAGGCAACGAUGCGUAGCCGACCUGAGAGGGUGAUCGGCCACACUGGGACUGAGACACGGCCCAGACUCCUACGGGAGGCAGCAGUAGGGAAUCUUCCGCAAUGGACGAAAGUCUGACGGAGCAACGCCGCGUGAGUGAUGAAGGUUUUCGGAUCGUAAAACUCUGUUGUCAGGGAAGAACAAGUGCCGGAGUAACUGCCGGCACCUUGACGGUACCUGACCAGAAAGCCACGGCUAACUACGUGCCAGCAGCCGCGGUAAUACGUAGGUGGCAAGCGUUGUCCGGAAUUAUUGGGCGUAAAGCGCGCGCAGGCGGUCUCUUAAGUCUGAUGUGAAAGCCCACGGCUCAACCGUGGAGGGUCAUUGGAAACUGGGGGACUUGAGUGCAGAAGAGGAAAGUGGAAUUCCACGUGUAGCGGUGAAAUGCGUAGAGAUGUGGAGGAACACCAGUGGCGAAGGCGA